Molecule: ribosomal RNA, 465 nt
Filed under: Vreelandella stevensii
Lineage: Bacteria; Pseudomonadati; Pseudomonadota; Gammaproteobacteria; Oceanospirillales; Halomonadaceae
Description: partial 16S ribosomal RNA
Rfam family: Bacterial small subunit ribosomal RNA
Source: RNAcentral
CCUACGGGUGGCAGCAGCGGGGAAUAUUGGACAAUGGGCGAAAGCCUGAUCCAGCCAUGCCGCGUGUGUGAAGAAGGCCUUCGGGUUGUAAAGCACUUUCAGUGGGGAAGAAAGCCUUGGGGCUAAUACCCUCGAGGAAGGACAUCACCCACAGAAGAAGCACCGGCUAACUCCGUGCCAGCAGCCGCGGUAAUACGGAGGGUGCGAGCGUUAAUCGGAAUUACUGGGCGUAAAGCGCGCGUAGGCGGUCUGAUAAGCCAGUUGUGAAAGCCCCGGGCUCAACCUGGGAACGGCAUCCGGAACUGUCAGGCUAGAGUGCAGGAGAGGAAGGUAGAAUUCCCGGUGUAGCGGUGAAAUGCGUAGAGAUCGGGAGGAAUACCAGUGGCGAAGGCGGCCUUCUGGACUGACACUGACGCUGAGGUGCGAAAGCGUGGGUAGCAAACAGGAUUAGAUACCCGUGUAGUC